Molecule: microRNA precursor, 96 nt
Filed under: Nicotiana sylvestris (wood tobacco)
Lineage: Eukaryota; Viridiplantae; Streptophyta; Magnoliopsida; Solanales; Solanaceae
Description: MIR6152 microRNA precursor family
Rfam family: MIR6152 microRNA precursor family
Source: Rfam by way of RNAcentral
UGGACAGAUUAUUAUAUUCGACUGUAUUCACGGCGUGAAAUAGGGGAUUACACUGUUUUUAAACGGAAAGUGAAUCAAUUAACAUAAUAGACUUCU